RNAcentral lists this ribosomal RNA (425 nucleotides) under uncultured bacterium. Its description in RNAcentral is "bacterial SSU rRNA". It matches the Rfam family "Bacterial small subunit ribosomal RNA", at positions 354 to 796 of the family's 1533-position model. The record is from RNAcentral.
GUUAGGAAUAUUGGACAAUGGGCGAAAGCCUGAUCCAGCCAUGCCGCGUGAACGAUGAAGGCCUUCGGGUUGUAAAGUUCUUUAGCCGAUGAUUAUAAUGACUGUAGUCGGAAAAUAAGCCCCGGCUAACUUCGUGCCAGCAGCCGCGGUAAUACGAAGGGGGCGAGCGUUAUUCGGAAUCACUGGGCGUAAAGCGUGCGUAGGCGGUUUUGUAAGUUAGGAGUGAAAGCCCAGGGCUCAACCUUGGAAUUGCUCUUAAAACUGCAAGGCUCGAAUCUCGGAGAGGAUAGCGGAAUUUCCAGUGUAGCAGUGAAAUGCGUAGAUAUUGGAAGGAACACCAGUGGCGUAAGCGGCUAUCUGGACGAGUAUUGACGCUGAGGCACGAAAGCGUGGGGAUCAAACAGGAUUAGAAACCCGGGUAGUCC